This 8521-nucleotide long non-coding RNA is filed under the name Vigna radiata. Its description in RNAcentral is "long non-coding RNA (VRAD_LNC000844)". Lineage: Eukaryota; Viridiplantae; Streptophyta; Magnoliopsida; Fabales; Fabaceae. The record is from RNAcentral.
GAAAAGGUGUCCUCUCUCACAUAUAUGAGGUUAAUUAUUUUACAAGAACUUGUCAAGAUAGAAAAAGGUACAAAUGCAAGGAAAACAAAUCCACAGGAAACAUACAAAAAUGAAAAAAUGGCUAACAACAAGGAACAUGCAACACUGCGUGUCAAUUUGGCUGAAGAUCUAGCAAAAUAUACCUCCUAAAAAGAAGACUAACAAAACAGUACAAGGAAGCAAGCUGAACUGCUCAAUUUAUAUUAGAGUACAGCCCAAUGUUAUCAUAAAGGAGGCCCAAAAGAUAAAGGUCCACGCAAGAGACAGAUAACGCGUGGUGGCUACACUUCGAAAUGGACGCUCGAAGAAGAAACGCGAAGCUGCUCCAUGUGAGAGAGGAAGAUCACAGGAUCUCUAGGGCAGCGUUCCAGUACGGGGGUUGCGAGAAGAAUGAAGAAAUUGGAUCGGUGGAAAGGCAGCGUCAGAAGGUAAGAGAAACGAAAUUUUAUUAUUACUAUGUGUAAAAUGUUUCUGAUUACAUUUGAAAAGAGAAAAACCUAACCUUUAAACAGGUUAGGAAAAAGAGGGGGAAAGGGAUUAACCAAACUAACAAACAAGUAGUAAUCUUGACAGAUCUAACUAACUAACAAACAUCGAUAACUUUCUCUUAAGCUGAAUUGUUUAUGUUUACCAAUCCAAGUUUAGGAAUGAUGAAAUGGAAGCGCACGGGAUGAGGAAGCUUCGUGAAGAUGUCAGCGAGCUGAUCGUUGGAGCGGAUGGGGAGGAGAUGAAGAAGGUUGGCUUGAAUCUUUUCGCGGACAAUGUGACAAUCGAGUUCAAUAUGCUUAUUUCGUGAAAGCGCUGAUUGUGAGCAAUAUGUAUGGUAGAUUUAUUGUCACAAUAGAGCGCAACAGUGGUAGUGGUCUCAACAUUGAGAUCUUGUAGGAGAUAAUUAAUCCAUUGUAUUUCGCAUACGGUAGCAGCCAAGGCUCGAUAUUCAGCUUUGGUAGAAGACCUGGAAACAAUACUUUGUUUCUUAGUUUUCCACGAUAUAAGUGAGGGUCCAAGGAAGAUGCAAAAUCCAGUGGUUGAUCUUCUAGUAUUAGGACAAGUAGUCCAGUCUGAGUCACUAAAGGCCUUUAUUUGGAUAUGAGAAUUAACAGCAAAGAAAAGGCCUUGUGAGGGGUUGGAUUUAAUAUAUCUGAGCAUGUGUUGUAAAGCCCGAUAAUGAUAAUCAGUAGGGGAUUGAACAAAUUGACUAAGAAGGUUAACAAAAAAACAUAGAUCAGGUCUAGUAUUAGUGAGAUAAAGUAACUUCCCUAUUAAUCUGCAAUAGGAGUUAGGAUUGGCCAUGUAAUUUUCUGUUUUAUAUCAGGAACUGGUGUCACUUAUAAAGGGGGUAGUGCAGGGCUUGCAUCCUAGCAUUCGUGUCUCUUCAAGAAUGUCCAGAGCAUAUUUUCUCUGACAUAGGUGUAUCCCUUUCUUAGAUCUGGCAACUUCAAAGCCGAGGAAGUAUUUCAGCUCUCCUAGGUUUUUUAUUCGAAAAGCUUGAUGAAGAAGAGCUUUUAUGUGGUUUAUUUCUGUGAUAGAAUCUCCUAUCAAAAUAAUAUCAUCUACAUACACAAGGAGAACUGUGAAAUUUGUGGAUGUCUUCUUAGUAAAAAGGGAAUGGUCAGAUUUAGAUUGAAUAUAAUUAACAGAGAGUAGGAAAGAGGACAAUUUAUCAAACCAUUGUCUACUAGCCUGUUUCAGCCCAUAUAGAGAUUUAGUUAACCUACAAACCUGUUCUUUGGUAUGAAUGUUCAGCCCUGGUGGUGGUUCCAUAUAAACUUCUUCAUUUAGGUCCCCAUGUAGAAAGGCGUUAUCUACAUCCAGUUGAUGUAGAUGCCAAUUUUUUGAGGCAGCAAUAGCAAGAAGAAUUCUGGCAGUAGUGAGUUUAGCAACAGGAGAAAAAGUGUCCAAAAAAUCUAUACCUUCUUCCUGGUUAUAUCCCUUAGCUACCAAGCGAGCUUUAUACCUUUCUAUGGUGCCAUCAGCCUUAUGCUUAAUUUUGUACACCCAUCUGCAACCAAUUGCAUUUUUUCCAGGAGGGAGUUUAGUUAAGUGCCAAGUGCCAUUGUCUUGUAAUGCUUUUAGUUCUUUCUGCAUGGCUGUAACCCAUUCAUGGUUGUCUUUUGCCUCAUUAUAGGAUUUAGGCUCACUAUUGGUAGAUAUGGCCAAAGUGUAAUUUAGGUGCCUUUUCGACAAGGAGUUAUAAGAUAGAACAUUGGAAAUUUGAUAAGGAGUUUUGUAAUUAUUUCUUGCAUCUAGAAAAUUGGUUGAAGAAUGAUUGACCUGAUGUAUGUAAUCAUUUAGAUACCCGGAGACCCUUUUAAUUCUAGUGGAUUUUCUCGAACUGUGAUCUUCUCCAUCAUCAGUAUGAUUAGAGCUAGUGUUGGUGAUGUCUUCACUAUGAUCUGUUCUUUAUUCUUGAUCUCCAUUUUCAUCUCCAUUGUUAGUUCUGUUAUUUUUAGCUCUGUCAACUCUGUCGCAGUUAUUUUCAGCUCUGUCACAGUUUUGCCCAUUCAAAAGAUCAUUAGGCUAGAUACUUUCAAUCUCUUUGUCAGCAUAGUUGGCCUCAUUAUUCUGUUGAUCUUUGUAAGGGAAAAUGUUUUCAUAAAAGAUGACAUUUCUACUUAGAAAUAUUUCUCUAGUACUAACAUCAAGUAUAAUAUAUCCUUUUACACCAUUUUUAUAACCUAAGAAUACACCUUUUCUAGCUCUAGAAUCAAGUUUAUGUCUAUUGUGCUCUAAAAUGGAAGCAAAACACAGGCAUUCAAAGGUUUUUAAGUUCAAAUAGGUGGGAGGAUUGUCAUAUAUCAAAUCAAAAGGAGUCUUACCAUUCAGAACAGAUGUGGGUAAUCUAUUUAUCAAUAAAUGGCAUGAGAUACAACAUAAGACCAGUAGGCAGUAGGUAUACUGGAUUGAAAAAGAAGGCUGCGAGUUUUAUCUAAUAUAUGUUGGUGUUUUCGUUCAACAAUAGAGUUUUGUAGGGGGGUCUCUACACAACUUUUCUGGUGCUCAAUACCAUGAGAAUCAUACAUAGCAACACAAUUAAAUUCAGGAUCAUUAUCAGAUCUAACAGUCUUAAUAGUUUUCCCAAACUGAUUUUUAAUUUUUAAAAUAAAAUUCUGCAAAAGAUCUCUAGUUUGACCUUUAUUGUGCAUCAAAAAGGCCCAAGUGUGUCUACUGUAAUAAUCAACUAUGGUAAGAAAGUAUUUAUGCCCAUGUAUAGAAGGUAUAGAGAUAGAGCCCCAUAUAUCACAAUGUAUCAAUUCAAAACAAUUAGUAGAAACAGUGGUGCUUCGAGAAAAAGGAAGUUUAUGUUGUUUGGCAUAAUGACAAAUAUCACAAACAAUUUUAGAUGACAUUUGAACAUAAGGAAAAUUUUUACAUUUUUUCUAUGAUUUUGUGGCCAGGGUGACCCAGUCUAUAAUGCCACAAAUCAUCAUUAACAUGUUUACAAGAAAGAACAGAUUUAGGAACAUAGUCCUGACUAAAAAUAGGAAAAAAUUUAAGAUAGUACAGUCCUUUGUAAACAUUAGCAUGCCCAAUAAUCUUCAAGGUAGAACUGUCCUGUAUCUGUCAAGUCUUAAAGGAAAAGGUUAUAAUGCAAUUUAGGUCCCUAGUUAGACUUUGAACAGAUAUAAGAUUAAAAGAAAAUUUUGGAAUAUAAAGAACAUUAAAAAUUAUGAAAUUAGUUGAAAAUUAGACAGUUCCAGCAUGCUGGGCUGUAACUAUGGAGUUAUUAGGAAGCUUGACAAAUAUGGGUUUGAUUUUAUGAAAAGUAAUAAAAUGUUUUCUUUCAUGGUUCACAUGAUCAGUGGCCCCAGUAUCUAUAAUCCAAGAAAAAUCAUCUGGGCUGUCUCUAGAAGUGUUUCUUUGCACUUGGCUAAUAGUGUGUGAGGGGUUAUCAGUGCCCUCUAUCAUCUUUAGUAGAUUCUGCAUCUGUUCAGGGGUAAAUAUUUGCAUAAAAUUAUUGUUGUUAUUAUCUUGUGGAGAAUUCUGUGUUUGGAUAGAAGUAGAAUCAUCCUUGCAGACAUUAGCAUAGCUCCAUUCGUUUUGUCCUCCCUAGUCUCGACUGUUGUAGUUGUCAUUUUUCUUGUACCAUGGUGGGUAGCCAUUUUUGGAAUAACACUCAUCAACCGUGUGAUUCAUCUUAUGGCAAUGGGAACAUUGUUUGCCAUAAUUGGGAUUUCUCCCUCUUCCUCUUCCUUGUCCACGUGAGCUAGUGCCACGCCCUUGAGGCUUCUAGUUAGAUUUGUCAGUGGUGCUGGCUAAGAUCUUGAAAGUGUCAUUCUGAUUGAUAGCUCUAGGAUGCUGUUUUUCUUGUCUUUCUUGCUGAAUAAGAAGAGAAAAAACCCUGUUGAUGUUGGGAAGAGAUUCCAUUAAAAGAAUUUGUGUCCAAACAAUAUGGUAGGUAUCAUUUAAGCCUUUUAGGAAGCAAAUAACGUGUUCCACCUCUCUGUAUUUUAGAGAAACUCUAGACAAAUCACAAGUACAUGGGGUUUUGCAGGUGCAGUAGGGUAUGGGUCUUAAAGACUCUAAUUCUUCCCAAAGGAUCUUCAAGUCAGUGAAAUAUUGGCUGAUAUUUCUUUCUCCCUGUUUGAUGGAGUGAAUAUCUUGUAGCAAAUCUGAAAUUUUGAAGUAGUCUCCUUAGAGAACCUUUCUUUAAGUUCUUCCCACAAAUCUUUGGCAUUAUCUGUUGAGAUUGUUGACACCACAAACUCUAUAUCAAACUAGUUUUUGAUGAUGACAACACAAUGCUUAAUAAUAGUACACAUGUUGCAGUAUUACAUGUUCUUAUUUUGAAUUAAUUUUCAUAUCUGCUGAACAUGUUUUGAUGUACUGUGAUGUAUGUUCCUAUGAUUGAUUGUGUGAUAUAUUUGUGGAACAUGCUUGUAUGGAAAUGUGCAAUAUGAACUGAUUGAUCAAAAACAUUUUAUUUCACAUUUCUGGAAGUGAAAGAUCACAAGCACCUUUAUGAACUUAUAAUUUUGUGACAAAGUUCUAGUUCAGUCGAAUACACCUAUAAUGGAUUCGACUAUUCUAAAACCUUUGUACAGAUUUUGAGAAUCAGUGUUGUGUGAUGUUUUGAGUUGAAAAGAAUUUCAAAGUGUUUUUACAUGUGUCAAUCGACAUUGUAUAAUGCGUAUUCGACUAUGUUAUUGAUCUGUUUGAAAUUCUGUUAUGCUUACAUGCUCCAACGACUAUAUUUUUGAAAGUUAGUUAAGCAUUGAUGACUUGGUCAACUGUAAUGAAUGUGUGUUGAUUUUUGUUGACUGAGAGCCUAUAUGUUGACUGUCUGUUAUAACUAUUUUAAUACAGUCUACUGAAUUGGUAGGCUAUUCGAUUGAGAAGACUUUUGAUGAUUUGACAUUUUCAUUUCUUGUUUCAGAUUGAAUUCUCUGUUUUAACAACUCCAAGAAUUCUCCAAGAAGACGAUGGUGAUCUAUCUUGAGAGAGAUUGAAAGGGAGAAGGCAAUUGCGCUGACUGCUUGAUCAUUAUCUGCACGAAGAAGGUGCUUCUUGAUUGAUCAUCGAAGGCUUGGCAUCCUGUGAAGACUGCUGUGUUGAUUGAAGGCUUGGCAACCUGUGAAGUCUGCUAUGUUAGGCUUGACAUCCUGUGAAGAGUGUUGGUUACACGUUGAGAAUUGUUCGACGUGGGUUCAGAUUGCAGAAGAGGGGAUUCUUGCUACAAUUCUAGUUUUGGUUAUUGCAACUAUAUUUUGGUUUUGGGUUAGAGAGGAGAUUUAUAUUUUUGCGUGAGGCUUUUGAGGAUAAAUAUAAAUCUCCUAUCUAACCCAAAACCAAAAUAUAGUUGCAAUAACCAAAACCAGACUUGCAGCAAGAAUCCCUUCUUCUGCAAUCUGAACCUACGUCGAACAAUCCUCAACGUGUAAAUUCCAGCACUCUUCACAGGAUGCCAAGCCUCAACAUAGCAGUCUUCACAAGAUGCCAAGCCUUCACAGAAUGUAGCAGACUUCAUAGGAUGCCAAGCCUUCAAUGAUCAAUCAAGAAGCACCUUCUUUGUGCAGUUUCUGAUCACACAGUGAGCGUGCAAACUCUCUCCCUUUGAAUCUCUCUCAAGAAAGAUCUCCAUUGUCUUCUUGGAGAAUUCUUCGAGCUGUUAACAGAGAAUUCAAUCUGAAACAAGAAAUGAAAAUGUUAGAGCGUCAAAAGUCUCUAAACAACUCGUGUUCAACGUAUUUAUAGUUUUCUGUCAGUCAGAUUGUUUCUUAGUCGAAUAGCCUACUAAUUCAAUCGACUGUAUUAUUACAGUUAUAACAGACAGUCAACAUCGAGGCUCUCAGUCAACAAAAAAUCAACACACAUUUAAUACAGUUGACCAAGUCAUCAAUGCUUAACUAACUUUUAAAAAUAUAGCCAUUGGAGCGCACAAGCAUAACAGAAUUCCAAAACAAAUCAAAGAUACAGUCGAAUGUACACUGGACAAAGUCGACUGACACAUGUAAAAACACUUUGAAAUUCUUUUCAGCUCAAAACAUCACUUAUCACUGAUUCUCAAAAUCUAUACAAAGGUUUUAGAAUAGUCGAAUCCAUUACUAAUGUAUUCCACUGUACUAUAACUUUGUCACACAGUUAUAAGUUCAUAAAAGUGCUUGUGAUUUUUCACUUUACAAAAUGUGCCGUAAAAUAUUUUUGAUAAAGCAGUUUGUAUUGCACAUAAGCAUGUAAGCAUGUUCCACAGAUAUAUAUUAAACACUCAACAUAGGAACAUACACCAUAGUACAUCAAAACAUGUUCAACAUCUAUAACAAUCAGUGCAGCAUAAGAACAUGUAAUGUAGUAACACAUGUACUGUUAUUAAGCAAAGUGUUGUCAUCAUCAAAAGCUAGAUUGAUAUAGAGUUUGUGUUGUCAACAAUCUCAACAGCCAUCAAUGAACUUAAGCUUGUUUUUGGAGAGAAUGGCUCUUUUCAAAUUUCUGGUCCAAGAUGAAUAGUUGGUUUCAUUUAGAAUAUGGGAAAUGAGAGUGAAACCUGGAUUUUCUCCAAGAUGAAGAUAAAACGCGCUAGAGGGGUUAGUGGUGGGAUCUUGUUUUUCCAUCAGGCUAAGAACAAUUCAAGAAAGGUGCUGCUCUGAUAUCAUAUUAGAGUACAACCUAAUGUUAUUAUAAAGGAGGCCUAAAAGAUAAAGGCCCACGCAAGAGACAGAUAACGCGUGGUGGCUACACUUCGAAAUAGACGCUCAAAGAAGAAACGCGAAGCUGCUCCAUGUGAGAGAGGAAGAUCACGAGAUCUCUAGGGUAGCAUUCCAGUAUGGGGGUUGAGAUAAGAAUGAAGAAAUUGGAUCGGUGGAAAGGCACCGUCAGAAGGUAAGAGAAACAAAACUUUUAUUAUUACUGUGUGUAGAUUGUUUCUGAUUACAUUUGAAAAGAGAAAAACCUAACCUUUAAAUAUGUUAGGAAAAAGAGGGAAAGGGGAUUAACCAAACUAACAAACAGAUUACUACUUCUAAGUAGUAAUCUUAACAGAUCUAACUAACUAACAAACAUCAAUAAUCUAAAUGAACCUAAGAGGAAACCAAUGACCAAUAACGAUUGGAGCUUUUCAUUCCACAUUUCCACAAAGAUACACUAAAUAACCACCAAUUGAGAUUAUCAGUAAUGCCUUUUAGCCUGCCAAAUCCUCUAAAUUUUUCACACAGGAACUGUUGUGUAUCCUUGAAGAAAACGAAUUGCCAAAUUGAUGAGUCAAUAUUUUCUCGACUUUACUUAGUUUAUUGUGCUAGAAUUAAUCAGGGAAUUGUGCUUAAUUGUCCGGUAUUUUCCCGUUUUUCCUAAUUAUGCUUAAUUUGAUCGGAAAUUCUUAUUUUAAUUAAUUUGAAUUUUCUAAGCUAAUUAAUUGCAUUUUUAAUUGCAGGGAAAAUUUUGGAGAUAUAUUUUGGAGCAUUGGGAGGAGACCAAAUAAUUCAAGACUCUCUUAAAAUUAGUUAUAUUUUAAUUUAGUAGUUUAGAAUUAAUCAAAUUGUAAUUUAGUGGUUAAGAAUUUUUAGACCAAGUUUUGUAAUUUUGGACCAAUUUUUGGUAGUGUAGACUAAGCCCAAUUGUAGAGUAGGAUGACUUGGCACCUAGGGUUUCCUUUUAUUUUAGGGUGGACCCCACCCUAAUUUUUGAAGACACAUGACCUUGGAAAGAGAAGCCAGCCGUCACUCAUUAAAGGGGGAGAAAUUCAUUCUUGGCGAGGGAUUUUUUUGGCUGCAGCAACAACAUGAAUAUUCUNGGCAAGAUGGAUUGAAGUGGAUCUCUCGACAAUUUUAUUUAAGCAGCUGCAACAACGUUUUUGAAGAGCUGCCAUCCCACUUAGACGUUACCUUUCAUUGCCAUUCAAGAGAAAUAUAGAGAGUGCACAUGGCUGCAAUNUAGAGCUCCAACAGGGUUUUCAGUUUUUUUUUUUUGUUUUUAUUUCUUUACGCAUGAACCUAAUUUUAUAGCUUAUAUAUUAGAAUGAAUUUAUGUUCAAGCAGCUGCCUUAUUUUAU